UAACACAUGCAAGUCGAGCGAGAAAGCUCUCUUCGGAGAGUGAGUAGAGCGGCGCACGGGUGAGUAGCGCGUGGAUGAUCUACCCUGAAGAUCGGGAUAACAGUUGGAAACGACUGCUAAUACCGUAUAUCCUGCAUAUUUAACUUUAUGUGGUAAAGAUGGCCUCUAUUUAUAAGCUAUCGCUUUGGGAUGAGUCCGCGUCUCAUUAGAUAGUUGGUGGGGUAAUGGCCUACCAAGUCUACGAUGAGUAGCAGGUCUGAGAGGAUGAUCUGCCACACUGGGACUGAAACACGGCCCAGACUCCUACGGGAGGCAGCAGUGGGGAAUAUUGCGCAAUGGGGGAAACCCUGACGCAGCGACGCCGCGUGUAGGAAGAAGGCUUUCGGGUCGUAAACUACUGUCAAGAGGGAAGAAACUGUUUAGGUAUAAUACGCCUAUUCACUGACGGUACCUCUAGAGGAAGCACCGGCUAACUCCGUGCCAGCAGCCGCGGUAAUACGGAGGGUGCGAGCGUUAAUCGGAAUCACUGGGCGUAAAGCGUGCGUAGGCGGCGCAUCAAGUCAGACGUGAAAGCCCUCGGCUCAACCGAGGAAUUGCGUUUGAAACUGGUGUGCUAGAGUCUCGGAGAGGUUAGGGGAAUUCCAGGUGUAGGAGUGAAAUCCGUAGAUAUCUGGAGGAACACCGGUGGCGAAGGCGCCUAACUGGACGAGUACUGACGCUGAGGUACGAAAGCGUGGGGAGCAAACAGGAUUAGAUACCCUGGUAGUCCACGCCGUAAACGAUGGAUAUUAGGUGUCGGGGGUAACCCUUCGGUGCCGCAGUUAACGCGUUAAAUAUCCCGCCUGGGGAGUACGGUCGCAAGGCUGAAAACUCAAAGGAAUUGACGGGGGCCCGCACA
This 898-nucleotide ribosomal RNA is filed under the name Desulfovibrionaceae bacterium enrichment culture clone MS_NAP_O9. Its description in RNAcentral is "bacterial SSU rRNA". It matches the Rfam family "Bacterial small subunit ribosomal RNA", at positions 49 to 927 of the family's 1533-position model. Lineage: Bacteria; Pseudomonadati; Thermodesulfobacteriota; Desulfovibrionia; Desulfovibrionales; Desulfovibrionaceae. The record is from RNAcentral.